Molecule: long non-coding RNA, 2915 nt
Filed under: Macaca mulatta (Rhesus monkey)
Lineage: Eukaryota; Metazoa; Chordata; Mammalia; Primates; Cercopithecidae
Description: lncRNA (ENSMMUG00000062182.1)
Source: RNAcentral
AGACUUGCUGAAUCUUCUGUCCUUCAUCUUUCUUCUGUGCUGGAUGCUUCCUGCCCUCAAACUUCAGACUCCAAGUUCUCCAGCUUUUGGUUUCUUGGACUCACACCAGUGAUUUGCCAGGGACUCUCGGGCUUACUACCACAGACUGAAGGCUGCACUGUUGGCUUCCCUACUUUUGAGGUUUGGGGGCUGGCUUCCUAGUUUCUCAGCUUGUGGAUGACCUACUGUGGGGCUUCACCUUGUAAUCAGGUGGUGAGAAAACAACCUGAACCUGGCUGAGCUAGGGAACAAAAAAUUCCUGCAUCGUUGUUCUAUAACAUUCUUCUUUCUUUGGACCCAGUAAGGCCCUGUGAGACUCCUCUAAUUUUUGAAGCUUUGCUGGAUUCCAGUUCACCACCAGGAUAAGAAGAAAAUGAGAACAUUUUUGUCGCUUGCUAUGAGAAUCCCAAGAGAGCUUGCUUCCUCUAUCUGCCAUUUGAGGACACCACUAGGAGACAAGCAUCUAAGAACCAGGAGAGUAUUAGGCCAUUCUUGCAUUGCUAUAAAAAAAAUACCUGAGACUGUGUAAUUUAUUUUUUUAAAAAAAGGUUUAAUUGGCUCAUGUUUCUUCAGGCUAUGUAACAAGCAUGGCACUGGCAUCUGCCCAGCUCCUGGGGACACCUUAAGGAACUUUGACUCAUGUCAGAAGGUGAAGUGACAGCAGGCACUUCAGAUGCCAAAAGCAGGAGCAAAGAGGGGCUGUGGAAGGUGCCAUAUACUUUUAAAUUGGCAGAUCUCAUGAGGACUCAGAGGGAGAGCUCACUUAUCACCAAGGGGAUGGCCCAAGCCAUUCAUGAGAAAUCCGCCCCCAUGAUCUCAACACCUCCCACCAGGCCACACCUCCAACACUGGGGAUUGCAUUUCAACACGAGAUUUAGGUGGGGACAAAUAUACAAACUAUAUCAAUGCCAGACAUUAAAUCUAUUUGCCCCUUGAUCUUGGACUCCUCAGCCUCCAGAACUGACUGUGAGGAAUAUAUUUGGAUUGUUUAUAAGCCACCCAGUUUAUGAUAUUCUGUUAUAACAGCCUAAAUGGAAUAAGACAGCACUUUUUACAGAUGAUUAACUAUAAGGACUUUAUUUUAUCUAUACAUUCUUAAAAUAUUUUUAAAUUACAUUGAUUCUUUUUUUCCAAAUUAAUACAGUUUGACCACUGUAGGAAAUUUGGAAAACACAUGAUUACAUUUUUAAAAAGCAUCUUUUUUAGCCAUGCUAUUUUCUACACUGGUACUACUUUUAUAGAUAUUAAUGCUACCACCAUCACUUAUUGAUACUUAUAGAGUAUCAGUGACAUAAAUAAACAAGUUAUAUGUAAUAAUGUAGUAAGAUAGAAUUUUUAAUCCUUACUUCACAUAUUAGGAAUCUGCAACUAAGAAAGUUCACAAAACUAGUAAGUGGCAGAGCUAGUAUUUAAGCCCCUGUGUGUUUUAAGAAAUAUUUUUUACAUGAGUUCACUUUGUCUUAUCUACUUUCUUAAAGGCUCUAACUCCAAAUACAGUCAUAUUUUAAAAUACUAGGGGUUAGGAGUUUAACAUGUGAAUUUAGAGGGACACAAUUCAGCUCAUAACAUUAAUACAUGGUCUCAUUUUCUUCCUUUCUUUUAAAAUAUAUGAAAACUUUGGAUUAUGUUGCAUAUAUGGUAGAGUUUUUUUAAUAUACAAUUAUCAUGAGUAUUUAUAACUAAGUAUUUUAUAAAUAUAAUUUUUAAUUGCAUUAAAUUAUUUCUUAACUUUGGAUUAUGUUGCAUAUAUUGUAGAGUUCUUUUUAUAUACAAUUAUCAUGAGUAUUUACAACUUUAUUUUAUAAAUAUAAUUUUUAAUGGCAUUAAAUUAUUUCUUAAUGUAGACACCUAUACAUUUUAUCUCAUAGUCUCUUGGGAUAAUAAAUUGCUAAAGUAUUCUGUCUAUUUAGAGAACAGUGUUGCUUUUAAUUUAAAAUUUUAUUAAAGAGUGAACCUCACAGGGGUGCGAACUCCCAGGACUCCUUUAUAACAUCAAAAAACUUACUAAAAAAUAUCUCACAUAUAGUUAACAAUAUUUGUCUUAAUUCAACAUAUAUUUAAAUUUACUCUAUCAAAACCUUUCAAUAUUUGAUAAACACACAUAACAGAUUAAAAAACUUGUUAUAUCUAAGUCAACCUAAGGAAUUACUAGUUUACAAGCCUCGUGCUACAGAAAGAAAAUUGAAACACUGUUAAAAGAAAUUACUUGCUAAGUUCUGUUGUAGGUAGACUCAACAUUUAAACCAGGCUUCUGUACUUCACAUAACCAUGUCUCAGAACUUUUGAUUUUUAGUGGAAAUACUGGAAAAGUUUUUUAAAUUGAGUAUCAUUGAAAUUCAUUGACACACUCUCUAUUUUUUUUUUGAAAUGUUGUAAGUAGGGUCAUCAUAUAAUGUAGAGUCUGAACCAGGACUCUCCUCUCUCUCUCUCUCUUUUUUUUUUAUAAUGUGCUUUUUAACAGCCACAACCAGACAUAGGUAUAAAUUAGAAGGGAAUCAGGCAAAUCAGGACCUAUUAUCAACAUACUCCUAAGCAAAAAUGUCAAUUGUGGUCAAGAGACUAUGAGGUCAAAUCAUAAGCAUGGAGUACAAAUAUGUCAUUGCUAACCACCAAUAUUUUUAUGUUAUAUUUUCCAAAAGGUAGGCAAAAAUGUUCAAACACUAUAGUAAUGGACCAAAGGGUACAUGAUCAAAAUAGGUUUAAAUAAUGAGUGAUGCACAAUACAACUUAUCAUGAAAUAUAAAGUGCAGUUUUUAAAAAAUGCACACACACAUUUAAUUAUGUAUGUAUACACACAGAUAAGUACAAUUUAUUUAUACAAAUAAAAUGUACAAAUAAUCAUUUACUUUUUUUGUAAUUUCGCAAAAAAAAAAAAA